This 232-nucleotide long non-coding RNA is filed under the name Elaeis guineensis (African oil palm). RNAcentral describes it as "long non-coding RNA (EGUI_LNC052623)". The record is from RNAcentral. Lineage: Eukaryota; Viridiplantae; Streptophyta; Magnoliopsida; Arecales; Arecaceae.
GGGUGAGUGAAAACCUAGAUCUAGUUCUAGGGUUUUGGGAAGAGAGAAAAGAAAGAAGAAAGUUUUCAUCUUUAUCUUCUUCCAUCACCACUUCCUCCUCCAUGUUCCAUAUUUAGAUCUAGAAGAGUUUGGGAGAUCCAAAGAGAAGAGUAGAUCAGCCAUCCAGAAGGUCUUCGCAUAAGCUAGCACUCUCAGAAAGAUCGAUCAGUGCAGUACUUCGAGUGGACCAACC